Non-coding RNA from Camelina sativa (false flax), 426 nucleotides. NCBI's taxonomy places the organism in Eukaryota, Viridiplantae, Streptophyta, Magnoliopsida, Brassicales, Brassicaceae. The record is from RefSeq and is a predicted model, not a curated record.
UUCGUUGAAGUGAAUAAUAACAAGUUUCUGCGGUCAGUUUUUUUUAAUUACUGAUGUGCUGGGAAACACACAAAAAAAAAAUAUUUCUUGGAUUAUCUAUGAUCAUAGGUAAGAGUUGUCGGAGUCGAAACUUUGAUCGGAUGAUCGUCUCUACCAUCGCUCUCCAUGUCUCCGCUCACCAUAAACUUCUCUCCUGGCAAUAAUAAUCCCCUUUAUCAUCUCAAGAUUUUCAAUUUCAUGUUACAGACCCCCUAAUCACUUAGCAGGUUUGAGAUAAUUGAAAAGUUGGAUUCAAUUUUCUUUACUUUCAGGAGCCAGUGAAGCAACAUGAUGAAAACCCAGUUAUUAUACAGAUUACAUUGGAACAACUCAUCAUGGACCAAUAACUAACAACGCAACGAUAUUAGGAGAUUGGUAGUACAGAGG